GUCUAUGGCCGCACCAUCCUGAACGCGCAUGAUCUCCUCUGAUCUCGGAAGCUAAGCAGGGUGGGGCCUGGUUAGGACUUGGGUGGGAGUAGUUA
This 95-nucleotide ribosomal RNA is filed under the name Chinchilla lanigera (long-tailed chinchilla). Lineage: Eukaryota; Metazoa; Chordata; Mammalia; Rodentia; Chinchillidae. The record is from RNAcentral.